RNAcentral lists this transfer RNA (94 nucleotides) under Paraplanobispora takensis. RNAcentral's name for it is "Planobispora takensis tRNA-Cys". The record is from RNAcentral. Lineage: Bacteria; Bacillati; Actinomycetota; Actinomycetes; Streptosporangiales; Streptosporangiaceae.
GUCUCUCGAGUCUCCGGAGAGGACCUACGUCAACACCACGUUCCGACGCAUCGACGAGGCGUUGAACGCGCUGUUCGACCUCGGCGGCGUGACA